Molecule: unclassified non-coding RNA, 165 nt
Filed under: rhizosphere metagenome
Description: partial ribosomal RNA internal transcribed spacer region
Source: RNAcentral
GAAUACACUGGACGCUCUUUUUAGAGGUCCGACCAAUCAUUUACCUUCACACUGUGCACACACUUCUUUUUCACCCAUUUUAAACACCUUAGUAUAAGAAUGUACCAGUCUCUUAAUUGAGCAUAAAUAUAUAAUAAAACUUUCAGCAACGGAUCUCUUGGCUCU